Molecule: ribosomal RNA, 501 nt
Filed under: Escherichia coli
Lineage: Bacteria; Pseudomonadati; Pseudomonadota; Gammaproteobacteria; Enterobacterales; Enterobacteriaceae
Also listed under: 1 other name
Description: partial 23S ribosomal RNA
Rfam family: Bacterial large subunit ribosomal RNA
Source: RNAcentral
UGAAUGGAAGGGCCAUCGCUCAACGGAUAAAAGGUACUCCGGGGAUAACAGGCUGAUACCGCCCAAGAGUUCAUAUCGACGGCGGUGUUUGGCACCUCGAUGUCGGCUCAUCACAUCCUGGGGCUGAAGUAGGUCCCAAGGGUAUGGCUGUUCGCCAUUUAAAGUGGUACGCGAGCUGGGUUUAGAACGUCGUGAGACAGUUCGGUCCCUAUCUGCCGUGGGCGCUGGAGAACUGAGGGGGGCUGCUCCUAGUACGAGAGGACCGGAGUGGACGCAUCACUGGUGUUCGGGUUGUCAUGCCAAUGGCACUGCCCGGUAGCUAAAUGCGGAAGAGAUAAGUGCUGAAAGCAUCUAAGCACGAAACUUGCCCCGAGAUGAGUUCUCCCUGACUCCUUGAGAGUCCUGAAGGAACGUUGAAGACGACGACGUUGAUAGGCCGGGUGUGUAAGCGCAGCGAUGCGUUGAGCUAACCGGUACUAAUGAACCGUGAGGCUUAACCUU